RNAcentral lists this ribosomal RNA (511 nucleotides) under uncultured bacterium. RNAcentral's name for it is "bacterial SSU rRNA". It matches the Rfam family "Bacterial small subunit ribosomal RNA", at positions 29 to 516 of the family's 1533-position model. The record is from RNAcentral.
AACGAACGCUGGCGGCGUGCCUAAUACAUGCAAGUCGAGCGAGAAAGUCUCUUCGGAGAUGAGUAAAGCGGCGCACGGGUGAGUAACACGUGGGCAAUCUGCCCUCGAGUCUGGGAUAACCCGGGGAAACUCGGGCUAAUACCGGAUACGGCUGCGGGGUCUUCGGAUCCUGUGGAGAAAGAUGGCCUCUUCUUGAAAGCUAUCUCUCGAGGAUGAGCCCGCGUCCAUUAGCUAGUUGGUGGGGUAACGGCUCACCAAGGCAAAGAUGGGUAGCUGGUCUGAGAGGAUGACCAGCCACACUGGAACUGAGACACGGUCCAGACUCCUACGGGAGGCAGCAGUAGGGAAUUUUGGGCAAUGGGCGAAAGCCUGACCCAGCAACGCCGCGUGUGGGAUGAAGGCCCUCGGGUCGUAAACCACUGUCAGGAGGAAAGAAAAGUCGGCCGGGUAAUAUUCGGUCGACCUGACGGUACCUCCAAAGGAAGCACCGGCUAACUCCGUGCCAGCAGCC